AUCAUCUCAGGGAAUCCCUCCAACAGUCUAGGAAGUAGCUCUUGGGAUUAUGUCCAUUUUACAGCGGAGGAAAAUCGAGGCAGUUGAGUGACCCAGUUGGAGGCCAUGCUCCACACAGAACACACACUUCACUCCAUGGAAGAGGUGGCAUUUGAAGUGGGUCUUGAAGAAUGCAAAAGACCCCCCUGCCCCCCGCCCCAUGACUUGGCCCAGCAGAGAUGGGGGAGCAGCCUGGUGAGGGGCAGGCUCAUCAGCAUAAUAGUGGAAACCAUGAUGAUAUAACAGUGAUUACCAAGACACCUGACAGGGUGACUCCUGUAGUGUGAUGUGCCCAAGGGUGCCAACAGCUUCAGGGUCUCUGGAAGCUCCGAGGUGGAUGUCUUCAUGGUCUACAACCGCACACGUGUGACAGAGCCCAUAGGCAAGGCCCGCUGGCCGCUAGACACUGAUGCAGACAUGGUCGUAUCUGUGGGCACAGCCAGUAAGGAAUUAAAGGACUUCAAGGUGAGGGUCUCCUACUUUGGGGAGCAGGAAGACCAAGCCCUGGGCCGCAGCGUGCUUUACCUCACUGGCGUCGCUAUUUCCCUUGAGGUUGACACAGGCCGCACAGGCAAGGUGAAGAGAAGCCAAGGGGAUAAGAAAACCUGGCGCUGGGGCCCUGAGGGCUAUGGGGCUAUCUUGCUGGUGAACUGUGACCGGGACAAUCACAGGUCCGCAGAGCCUGACCUCACCCACAGCUGGCUGAUGUCGCUGGCUGACCUGCAGGACAUGUCCCCAAUGCUGCUGAGCUGCAAUGGCCCCGACAAGCUCUUUGACAGCCACAAGCUUGUCUUGAACGUGCCCUUUUCUGAUUCCAAAAGAGUGAGGGUCUUCCGUGCCAGGGGUGGGAAUUCUCUCUCGGACUACAAACAGGUGCUGGGGCCCCAGUGUCUGUCCUAUGAAGUUGAGCGACAGCCAGGGGAGCAGGAGAUCAAGUUCUAUGUGGAGGGGCUGACCUUCCCCGAUGCCGAUUUCCUAGGGCUGGUUUCCCUCAGUGUCAGCCUGGUGGACCCGGGGACCCUGCCCGAGGUGAUCCUCUUCACAGACACUGUGGGCUUCCGCAUGGCCCCCUGGAUCAUGACGCCCAACACUCAGCCUCCUGAGGAGCUGUAUGUGUGCAGUGUGAUGGACACUCAUGGCUCCAAUGAGAAAUUCCUGGAGGACAUGUCUUAUCUGACAUUGAAAGCCAACUGCAAGCUGACCAUCUGCCCUCAAGUUGAAAAUCGAAAUGACCGCUGGAUCCAGGACGAGAUGGAGUUUGGCUACAUCGAGGCCCCUCACAAAUCCUUCCCCGUGGUCUUUGACUCCCCCCGGAACAGGGGCCUGAAAGAUUUCCCCUAUAAGAGGAUCCUGGGUCCUGACUUUGGAUAUGUGACCCGGGAGAUCCCGCUCCCUGGUCCCUCCAGCCUUGACUCCUUCGGCAACCUGGACGUCAGCCCGCCCGUCACGGUGGGCGGCAUGGAAUACCCCCUGGGCCGGAUCCUCAUCGGGAGCAGCUUCCCCAAGUCCGGUGGGCGGCAGAUGGCCAGGGCAGUGCGGAACUUCCUGAAGGCACAGCAGGUGCAGGCACCCGUGGAGCUCUACUCGGACUGGCUCUCUGUGGGCCAUGUGGACGAGUUUCUGACCUUUGUGCCUACCUCUGACCAAAAGGGCUUCCGGAUGCUCCUGGCUAGCCCCAGCGCUUGCCUCAAACUCUUCCAAGAGAAGAAAGAAGAGGGUUAUGGGGAGGCAGCCCAGUUUGAUGGGUUAAAACACCAGGCAAAAAGAAGCAUUAAUGAGAUGCUGGCAGACAGACACCUCCAGAGAGACAAUCUUCAUGCACAGAAAUGCAUUGACUGGAACCGUAAUGUGCUGAAGCGGGAGCUGGGCCUGGCAGAGAGUGACAUCGUGGACAUUCCCCAGCUCUUCUUCCUGAAAAACUUCUACGCGGAAGCCUUCUUCCCAGACAUGAUGCCAAUAGCACUCUCCCAGAUGUGACAACCAAAAAUGCCCUAGUGGACAAAAUGGACCCUGAUUGAGAACCACGGCUUGAAGGCAGUGUUGUCUGUUAGAACAUUCUGUGCUGAUGAAAAUGUUCCAUAUCUGCACAAUACAGUCCAGUAGCCACUCAGCUACCACCUGAAAUGUGGCUAGUGUCAAUGAAGAACAGAAAUUGUAACUUUAUGUUAACAUGGUGGUCUUAGGCAAGUACCUGGGCAUCCCCAAGCCCUACGGGCCCAUCAUCAAUGGCCGCUGCUGCCUGGAGGAGAAGGUGCAGUCCCUGCUGGAGCCUCUGGGCCUGCACUGCAUCUUCAUUGAUGACUACUUGUCCUACCACGAGCUGCAGGGGGAGAUCCACUGUGGCACCAACGUGCGCAGGAAGCCCUUUCCCUUCAAAUGGUGGAACAUGGUGCCCUGAGCCUGCCCCCACCCACCAUCCUCUCUGCCCUCUUGCUAGGGAACCCUGCCAGGGUGAGGGCAAGGAACAACCACCUGGCCUCCAUUCUCUUGGGGGAGUCUUGGCACUUUGCAAACAUCCUGGCCACCGUGGGCACCAGGACACAGGGAUGGAUACCACCUACCCUCGCCUCUGGAAUGGCCUACCCAACCCGAGAAGAAUGCACCUCAUUCUUCCCUGGCCUCUUUCCCACCCACAGCCCCCAGAGGCUCUAGAUCAACAAUGUUAGCAAGUUCGAGAAUGGCUGUGGGAGGCCUAGGGAGAUGGGCCCCACUUAGAAUUGCUCCCCCUUCAUUCUGAUGCCUCCCUGGGGAACAAGGAUAAUGACUUUGCAUCUGUACCUGGAACGGGGCCUGGGGGACCUGGGGUCUGGUGUGCCAGGCACCAGGCUGCCUCUGCUCUUGGAAAACUAGGAAAGGGGAUCAGAAACAUCCUCUCCCCGCUCUAGGUUUCUUCUCCCAAAGGGGACCCAAGGCUGUGACACUUACCUCCACCCCCAUCCAGCACCCUUCAGCUGUGUGUGGACAAACAAGGACAGAAAAACCCAGUGUCCAAGGGCCAAUUUAAAUAGAAAAAAGACAACAAAAUUUUAAUAGCUGACUCCGACCUCAGAAGAGUGAUUGCUACCUUUCUGGAAAGACUUUAAUUACCAGAGCUGGCUUCUCCCAGCUCAGAAAUGCUGAGAGGCCAACCUGAGGCCUGAGGACACACAAAGGAUGACGGGGCAGGAGGGGAUGAGGUCAGGGUAGCAGAGUGUGUGACGACGGAUUUGGGGGCCUAGAGGUGUCCGUGGUUCCUGGGCUGGGAUUUUGGACUCUGGAUUUGAAGGGAGCUGGAGCUUCCAGAUGUAGCAGGGGUAGGGGGCCAGAUGUUAGAAGAGGGUGUGUGUGUUGGGAGGAAAUUAGGUUAUCUCUGAAGGUGGAGUUUAAUUUCCUUUAAUAGUCUUUAAUUAUUCCCCUUCAUUCUGCAGGCAGUGGGAGGGGAAGGCUUGCCCGGUCUCUCUCAGCAACCCAGGGACCCUGCACAUAGCUUAGGUUUCAUCCCUGAAUAAACCGCUGUGCAGGCCCAUGUCCCCUCCCACAGUAGGGAAGACAGCUGCCACGGGAGGUUAAUAGCCCUGAGUUAGGUCACUGAGACAUGCACAGGCAGGCUGGUUCAGCUGGGCUGCAGGGCACGGGCAGGAGGAAGCCAGCCUACCCUCUUCCCCCACUGCCAGUGAGGCCAUUGUAGGGCAGUUGGCCCUAGGGCUUCGGUCCAUCUAGGUUUUCAGUGGUCCCUGCUGAGACCUCACACUGAGCCAACUACUGUCACUCUUUUAACCAAGAAAAGCUAGCCUGGAACUGCUAUGGUUAAAGUGGGUGAGCGGGAACCUGAAAAUCCCCUUCUGGAAGGUUCUACAGAACUCUAUUCGCAAGCUCCUGCUUUAACCUGAGCGUCCUCUGCUCAGGAUCAUACCCCAGCCUGCACUGAGUCAAGAAGGAGAAGGAGGCUCUGAAGGGGCCGGGGGUGUGAGCUGGGGUUGGGACUCCCCUGAGAAAGAGCUGUGGGUAGGAAGGGAGUGAGCAUUGCAGAGAUAGGGCUGGGGGUCGGGGCCACACUGAGUGUGGGAAGCUCUGGAGUUGUUGCUGGGCCAUCGAGGGGCCCUGGUGUUGGCUCUGAGAAUGUUCUGGGUGACCAGUCACCUACUUUCUGAUCAAUAAAAAUGUCGACAUGCAUUUCU
Pan troglodytes (chimpanzee) is the source of this 4196-nucleotide RNA transcript. It is a transcript of the gene named peptidyl arginine deiminase 1, with no coding region annotated. The record is from RefSeq and is a predicted model, not a curated record. Lineage: Eukaryota; Metazoa; Chordata; Mammalia; Primates; Hominidae. The transcript has 17 exons.